UCGUGAGUUCGAUGAGUAGGGCGGGACACGUGACAUCCUGUCUGAAUAUGGGGGGACCAUCCUCCAAGGCUAAAUACUCCUGACUGACCGAUAGUGAACCAGUACCGUGAGGGAAAGGCGAAAAGAACCCCGGCGAGGGGAGUGAAAUAGAACCUGAAACCGUGUACGUACAAGCAGUGGGAGCACCUUCGUGGUGUGACUGCGUACCUUUUGUAUAAUGGGUCAGCGACUUAUAUUUUGUAGCAAGGUUAACCGUAUAGGGGAGCCGUAGGGAAACCGAGUCUUAACUGGGCGAAUAGUUGCAAGGUAUAGACCCGAAACCCGGUGAUCUAGCCAUGGGCAGGUUGAAGGUUGGGUAACACUAACUGGAGGACCGAACCGACUAAUGUUGAAAAAUUAGCGGAUGACUUGUGGCUGGGGGUGAAAGGCCAAUCAAACCGGGAGAUAGCUGGUUCUCCCCGAAAGCUAUUUAGGUAGCGCCUCGUGAACUCAUCUUCGGGGGUAGAGCACUGUUUCGGCUAGGGGGCCAUCCCGGCUUACCAAACCGAUGCAAACUCCGAAUACCGAAGAAUGUUAUCACGGGAGACACACGGCGGGUGCUAACGUCCGUCGUGAAGAGGGAAACAACCCAGACCGCCAGCUAAGGUCCCAAAGUCAUGGUUAAGU
This 666-nucleotide ribosomal RNA is filed under the name Serratia marcescens. RNAcentral's name for it is "partial 23S ribosomal RNA". It matches the Rfam family "Bacterial large subunit ribosomal RNA", at positions 397 to 1064 of the family's 2925-position model. Lineage: Bacteria; Pseudomonadati; Pseudomonadota; Gammaproteobacteria; Enterobacterales; Yersiniaceae. The record is from RNAcentral.